This 1641-nucleotide long non-coding RNA is filed under the name Nicotiana benthamiana. Its description in RNAcentral is "long non-coding RNA (NBEN_LNC039998)". The record is from RNAcentral. Lineage: Eukaryota; Viridiplantae; Streptophyta; Magnoliopsida; Solanales; Solanaceae.
UCUGAUUGAGAAAAAAUCCAAGGAGAAAAGGCCACAAAUUACAUUACUAAACAGAUUCAGAGAAGAAAGAAUGUAUUCAAUUUCAUUCCAAUUCUGGAAAUUGUAGGAACCAGAUUUAGAUUUGAAAAAUCCAAGGAGAAAGUCCCACUAUUACAUCACUAAGCAGAUUCGGAAAUGCAUUCAAUUUGUUUACAUUUCUGCUUCUGCACUGUUUCCUUGCACCAACACACAGGUUGAAAACCUUUCUGCCUAGUGUUAUGAUUGGUCUGGUUGAGAGUACUGCAGGUGAGAAGAGAGAGACUUAGAUAUACAUUCAUAAUUGGUAACGAAAACCUCAUUUCUUGAAGCACAUUUAGAGACAUAAAUAUAAGCACUGAGCUGGUUUUUUCCGUGUUAAUUUUCAGAAAAUUUAAUUGCUGAUACUUUGGGUCAUGUUCACCUCAUCUAUCUGCAGUUUGUAAAAGCUCAAGUGUCUUAGUGACUUCCUGACCUUGAAGGUUCUCUCUUCUGCUUGGCAUUUUUGUCGUUAAUUUAAAAGGAACUUGCUAAAACUUCUGAUGUCCCAAGAAGUGCUUUUGCGAUCUUUUUCUGUAACACGAUAUGACUUAUGUGCGCAAGAAUGCCCCUGCUGUUGAGAUGCUAUUCAAUUACGAAUCUGUGCUUAGUUUAACAGUCUUGUAUGUUGCCGUUCUCGAAAUUUCAUGCGUCUAGCAUAUUCAUGUUAUUAAUGUUCUUUCUCUAACUUGCUUACAGAAAUAAAAAUAUUUAUUUCAGAAAUGCAGUGCAUAUCCAUGCUAUACAGAGAAUAUUGAUAUUGUUGCCUGCUCAUUUGGUAUAGCAUGAUCCUAUACAGAAUCUUUAGGUGAGACAUUUCCAAAAUUUUGAUAUAUUUUGGUAAUAGCCUCUGCUGCAUGUAUGGAGAAACUUAAGUCUUGUGGUUCUUAAAAAUUUAGGGUACUAUCUCAGAAGUUAAGAAUCUUUUUGGUGUCGUUCAUCCUUGGUAGCAAAAAUGUGUUUGUCCUUGUUUCCCUGAUUUAGAAAAUUUAGGAUUUAGGCGGAUAAUUGUCUGAAGUGCAUGCUGUAGGCCUGACCUACUACAACUUUGUAGCUACAAAUUCAAUAUGGUGUAGGAGGGGCAGUUAGAAUGACUAUUCCAUUGAGUAUGAUUUGAAUUAACUCCAAUGCGAAGGUUCGACACGAGGAAACUUUAUCAUCCAUGUUGUUAUGUGUUAUCCAGAUGUCUUUCUUAUGGUGCUUACUCUAUAUUUCAUCAUAUGCUUAUGCAAUGUGGAUUUGCAGAGUUUAGCAAAGUUCCUCUGCACAUUCUCCAUCAGGUUCUUGCCCAGCUUCAAGAUAGUGUAUUUUCCAGAAGGAACACAAGUGUGCUUCUCAAAAUCACAGGCUCACCAAUAUCAUGCAACAUCUUCGGUAUCUUUGGUCCCUUGUCACGGACCGGAUAACUCCCUAGCUAUCUUCCGUGCGGCCUUAGUCACAAUUCGUCCCUGCGAUGUUCUAAGUCAGCCUUUCCCCGAACGAAUGCCACAACAAAGCUAAGAGAAGCUAAGAAGAGAAGCUUGCAAGAAAGCUUUGUAUUACACAAGAGAAAGCUUUGUACAAGUGUUGGAUUGCUCUAUGUCUUCU